RNAcentral lists this ribosomal RNA (361 nucleotides) under Cedecea sp. 188R. RNAcentral describes it as "bacterial SSU rRNA". It matches the Rfam family "Bacterial small subunit ribosomal RNA", at positions 1009 to 1370 of the family's 1533-position model. Lineage: Bacteria; Pseudomonadati; Pseudomonadota; Gammaproteobacteria; Enterobacterales; Enterobacteriaceae. The record is from RNAcentral.
GAUUGGUGCCUUCGGGAACUCUGAGACAGGUGCUGCAUGGCUGUCGUCAGCUCGUGUUGUGAAAUGUUGGGUUAAGUCCCGCAACGAGCGCAACCCUUAUCCUUUGUUGCCAGCGGUUCGGCCGGGAACUCAAAGGAAACUGCCAGUGAUAAACUGGAGGAAGGUGGGGAUGACGUCAAGUCAUCAUGGCCCUUACGAGUAGGGCUACACACGUGCUACAAUGGCGCAUACAAAGAGAAGCGACCUCGCGAGAGCAAGCGGACCUCAUAAAGUGCGUCGUAAUCCGGAUUGGAGUCUGCAACUCGACUCCAUGAAGUCGGAAUCGCUAGUAAUCGUAGAUCAGAAUGCUACGGUGAAUACG